RNAcentral lists this transfer RNA (76 nucleotides) under Candidatus Sedimenticola endophacoides. Its description in RNAcentral is "tRNA-Asn". It matches the Rfam family "tRNA". From Rfam's summary of the family: Transfer RNA (tRNA) molecules are approximately 80 nucleotides in length. Their secondary structure includes four short double-helical elements and three loops (D, anti-codon, and T loops). The record is from RNAcentral. Lineage: Bacteria; Pseudomonadati; Pseudomonadota; Gammaproteobacteria; Chromatiales; Sedimenticolaceae. RNAcentral also lists the same sequence under 1 other name.
UCCUCUGUAGCUCAGUUGGUAGAGCAACGGACUGUUAAUCCGUGGGUCACUGGUUCGAGCCCAGUCGGAGGAGCCA